GAUGAACGCUGACAGAAUGCUUAACACAUGCAAGUCAACUUGAACUUCGGUUUGGGUGGCGGACGGGUGAGUAAUGCGUAAAGAACUUGCCUCACAGAUAGGGACAACAUUUGGAAACGAAUGCUAAUACCUGAUAUUAUGAUUAUAUGGCAUCGUAUAAUUAUGAAAGCUAUAUGCGCUGUGAGAGAGCUUUGCGUCCCAUUAGCUAGUUGGAGAGGUAACGGCUCACCAAGGCGAUGAUGGGUAGCCGGCCUGAGAGGGUGAUCGGCCACAAGGGGACUGAGACACGGCCCUUACUCCUACGGGAGGCAGCAGUGGGGAAUAUUGGACAAUGGACCAAGAGUCUGAUCCAGCAAUUCUGUGUGCACGAUGAAGUUUUUCGGAAUGUAAAGUGCUUUCAGUUGGGAAGAAAAAAAUGACGGUACCAACAGAAGAAGUGACGGCUAAAUACGUG
This 454-nucleotide ribosomal RNA is filed under the name uncultured bacterium. RNAcentral describes it as "partial 16S ribosomal RNA". It matches the Rfam family "Bacterial small subunit ribosomal RNA", at positions 28 to 507 of the family's 1533-position model. The record is from RNAcentral.